UACGGAGGGGGCUAGCGUUGUUCGGAAUCAUUGGGCGUAAAGGGCGUGUAGGCGGCCGAUCAAGUCGGGUGUGAAAUCCCUCGGCUCAACCGAGGAACUGCACUCGAUACUGAUUGGCUAGAGUCCGGGAUGGGGUGGCGGAAUUCCCAGUGUAGCGGUGAAAUGCGUAGAUAUUGGGAAGAACACCGGUAGCGAAGGCGGCCACCUGGACCGGUACUGACGCUGAGGCGCGAAAGCCAGGGGAGCGAAUGGG
Molecule: ribosomal RNA, 253 nt
Filed under: uncultured bacterium
Lineage: Bacteria
Description: partial 16S ribosomal RNA
Rfam family: Bacterial small subunit ribosomal RNA
Source: RNAcentral